This 492-nucleotide ribosomal RNA is filed under the name uncultured bacterium. RNAcentral describes it as "partial 16S ribosomal RNA". It matches the Rfam family "Bacterial small subunit ribosomal RNA", at positions 29 to 507 of the family's 1533-position model. The record is from RNAcentral.
AGUGAACGCUGGCGGUAGGCCUAACACAUGCAAGUCGAACGGCAGCACAGUAAGAGCUUGCUCUUACGGGUGGCGAGUGGCGGACGGGUGAGGAAUACAUCGGAAUCUACUUUUUCGUGGGGGAUAACGUAGGGAAACUUACGCUAAUACCGCAUACGACCUACGGGUGAAAGCAGGGGAUCUUCGGACCUUGCGCGAUUGAAUGAGCCGAUGUCGGAUUAGCUGGUUGGCUGGGUAAAGGCCCACCAAGGCGACGAUACGUAGCUGGUCUGAGAGGAUGAUCAGCCACACUAGAACUGAGACACGGUCCAGACUCCUACGGGAGGCAGCAGUGGGGAAUAUUGGACAAUGGGCGCAAGCCUGAUCCAGCCAUACCGCGUGGGUGAAGAAGGCCUUCCGGUUGUAAAGCCCUUUUGUUGGGAAAGAAAAGCAGCAGGUUAAUACCCCGCUGUUCUGACGGUACCCAAAGAAUAAGCACCGGCUAACUUCGUG